This 506-nucleotide ribosomal RNA is filed under the name uncultured bacterium. Its description in RNAcentral is "partial 16S ribosomal RNA". It matches the Rfam family "Bacterial small subunit ribosomal RNA", at positions 28 to 507 of the family's 1533-position model. The record is from RNAcentral.
GACGAACGCUGGCGGCGUGCUUAACACAUGCAAGUCGAACGGUGAAGGGACUGGUUUUGCUGGUCCUGGAUGAGUGGCGAACGGGUGAGUAACACGUGAGUAACCUGCCCCCUUCUUCUGGAUAACCGCAUGAAAGUGUGGCUAACACGGGAUAUUCUGGGUCUGUCGCAUGGUGGGCCUGGGAAAGAUUGCGCCUUUUUUGGUGUUUUUGGUGGGGGAUGGGCUCGCGGCCUAUCAGCUUGUUGGUGGGGUGAUGGCUUACCAAGGCGGUGACGGGUAGCCGGCCUGAGAGGGUGGACGGUCACACUGGGACUGAGACACGGCCCAGACUCCUACGGGAGGCAGCAGUGGGGAAUAUUGCACAAUGGGCGCAAGCCUGAUGCAGCGACGCCGCGUGAGGGAUGGAGGCCUUCGGGUUGUGAACCUCUUUCGCCAGUGAAGCAGGCCUGCCUCUUUUUGUGGGUGGGUUGACGGUAGCUGGAUAAGAAGCGCCGGCUAACUACGUG